RNAcentral lists this ribosomal RNA (500 nucleotides) under uncultured Glomeromycotina. Its description in RNAcentral is "partial small subunit ribosomal RNA". It matches the Rfam family "Eukaryotic small subunit ribosomal RNA", at positions 591 to 1092 of the family's 1831-position model. Lineage: Eukaryota; Fungi; Glomeromycota. The record is from RNAcentral.
CCAAUAGCGUAUAUUAAAGUUGUUGCAGUUAAAAAGCUCGUAGUUGAAUUUCGGGAUCAAUACGUCGGUCGUGCCUCCGGUACGUACUGGUGUUAUUGGUUUCUCCCUUCUGAUGAAUCACGAUGUCAUUAAUUUGGUGUUGUGGGGAGUCAGGACUGUUACUUUGAAAAAAUUAGAGUGUUUAAAGCAGGCUAACGCUUGAAUACAUUAGCAUGGAAUAAUGAAAUAGGACGUUCGAUCUUAUUUUGUUGGUUUCUAAGGUCAACGUAAUGAUUAAUAGGGAUAGUUGGGGGCAUUAGUAUUCAAUUGUCAGAGGUGAAAUUCUUGGAUUUAUUGAAGACUAACUACUGCGAAAGCAUUUGCCAAGGAUGUUUUCAUUAAUCAAGAACGAAAGUUAGGGGAUCGAAGACGAUCAGAUACCGUCGUAGUCUUAACCAUAAACUAUGCCGACUAGGGAUCGGAUGAUGUUAAUUUUUUAAUGACUCAUUCGGCGCCUUACG